This 316-nucleotide unclassified non-coding RNA is filed under the name fungal sp. Its description in RNAcentral is "partial internal transcribed spacer region". The stretch from base 1 to 46 matches the Rfam family "Eukaryotic small subunit ribosomal RNA", at positions 1786 to 1831 of the family's 1831-position model. Lineage: Eukaryota; Fungi. The record is from RNAcentral.
AAGUCGUAACAAGGUCUCCGUAGGUGAACCUGCGGAGGGAUCAUUAGAAAUGCUUGUUUUUUUCAUUUGGUGGACGUGUUCUUUGAAUGCGCUCACCGGAUGGAAACAUCAUUUCCUGGCUUUUGUCCUCCCUCGUCCAGCCUCACGGCCGGGCUUGGGUGGCAAUUGCCGGAUAAUCGGGAAGAGGCCUUGUGCUUCGACCCACUAUCUACACCUUUUUAGUCUGAACCUCUUCAGCGAAAGCGAGAGCAAUCUUACUUUCAAUGAUAAAAAUUAAAAUUAAAACAACUUUCAACAAUGGAUCCCUCGAUUCUCC